UUGAAGAGUUUGAUCAUGGCUCAGAUUGAACGCUGGCGGCAGGCCUAACACAUGCAAGUCGAACGGUAACAGGAAGAAGCUUGCUUCUUUGCUGACGAGUGGCGGACGGGUGAGUAAUGUCUGGGAAACUGCCUGAUGGAGGGGGAUAACUACUGGAAACGGUAGCUAAUACCGCAUAACGUCGCAAGACCAAAGAGGGGGACCUUCGGGCCUCUUGCCAUCGGAUGUGCCCAGAUGGGAUUAGCUAGUAGGUGGGGUAACGGCUCACCUAGGCGACGAUCCCUAGCUGGUCUGAGAGGAUGACCAGCCACACUGGAACUGAGACACGGUCCAGACUCCUACGGGAGGCAGCAGUGGGGAAUAUUGCACAAUGGGCGCAAGCCUGAUGCAGCCAUGCCGCGUGUAUGAAGAAGGCCUUCGGGUUGUAAAGUACUUUCAGCGGGGAGGAAGGAGUAAAGUUAAUACCUUUGCUCAUUGACGUUACCCGCAGAAGAAGCACCGGCUAACUCCGUGCCAGCAGCCGCGGUAAUACGGAGGGUGCAAGCGUUAAUCGGAAUUACUGGGCGUAAAGCGCACGCAGGCGGUUUGUUAAGUCAGAUGUGAAAUCCCCGGCUCAACCGGGAACUGCAUCUGAUACUGGCAAGCUUGAGUCUCGUAGAGGGGGUAGAAUUCCGUGUAGCGGUGAAAUGCGUAGAGAUCUGGAGGAAUACCGGUGGCGAAGGCGGCCCCCUGGACGAAGACUGACGCUCAGGUGCGAAAGCGUGGGGAGCAAACAGGAUUAGAUACCACGGUAGUCCACGCCGUAAACGAUGUCGACUUGGAGGUUGUGCCCUUGAGGCGUGGCUUCCGGAGUUAACGCGUUAAGUCGACCGCCUGGGGAGUACGGCCGCAAGGUUAAAACUCAAAUGAAUUGACGGGGGCCCGCACAAGCGGUGGAGCAUGUGGUUUAAUUCGAUGCAACGCGAAGAACCUUACCUGGUCUUGACAUCCACGGAAGUUUUCAGAGAUGAGAAUGUGCCUUCGGGAACCGUGAGACAGGUGCUGCAUGGCUGUCGUCAGCUCGUGUUGUGAAAUGUUGGGUUAAGUCCCGCAACGAGCGCAACCCUUAUCCUUUGUUGCCAGCGGUCCGGCCGGGAACUCAAAGGAGACUGCCAGUGAUAAACUGGAGGAAGGUGGGGAUGACGUCAAGUCAUCAUGGCCCUUACGACCAGGGCUACACACGUGCUACAAUGGCGCAUACAAAGAGAAGCGACCUCGCGAGAGCAAGCGGACCUCAUAAAGUGCGUCGUAGUCCGGAUUGGAGUCUGCAACUCGACUCCAUGAAGUCGGAAUCGCUAGUAAUCGUGGAUCAGAAUGCCACGGUGAAUACGUUCCCGGGCCUUGUACACACCGCCCGUCACACCAUGGGAGUGGGUUGCAAAAGAAGUAGGUAGCUUAACCUUCGGGAGGGCGCUUACCACUUUGUGAUUCAUGACUGGGGUGAAGUCGUAACAAGGUAACCGUAGGGGAACCUGCGGUUGAUCACCUCCUU
RNAcentral lists this ribosomal RNA (1531 nucleotides) under Escherichia coli. Its description in RNAcentral is "bacterial SSU rRNA". It matches the Rfam family "Bacterial small subunit ribosomal RNA". Lineage: Bacteria; Pseudomonadati; Pseudomonadota; Gammaproteobacteria; Enterobacterales; Enterobacteriaceae. The record is from RNAcentral.